GCCGGGCGUGGUGCCUCAUGCCUGUAAUCCCAGCACUUUGGGAGGCAGAGGCAGGUGGAUCACUUGAGGUCAGGAGUUCAAAAAUAGCCUGACCAACAUGGUGAAACCCUGUCUCUA
Molecule: unclassified non-coding RNA, 117 nt
Organism: Macaca fascicularis (crab-eating macaque)
Lineage: Eukaryota; Metazoa; Chordata; Mammalia; Primates; Cercopithecidae
Rfam family: Metazoan signal recognition particle RNA
About the family: The signal recognition particle (SRP) is a universally conserved ribonucleoprotein. It is involved in the co-translational targeting of proteins to membranes.
Source: Ensembl